CCCUGCCGCCGACCAGCGCGGCUCUGCAGAGCCUGGGCACAAGCUGCCCGCCGCUGCGGGACGGAGCCGUGCCAAAGAGAUGGGGAACGGCCCGGAGCAGCCACAGCCCAGGGAGGACGCAACCAAUGUUAUCUGCGGCCUGAUCCUGGAGCUCUCCAACCUCAACCGCCUGGCGAUGAGCGCCCACCGCGGCCUGGAGGCGCUGAGGAGGCCGAAGCCACGGCGGAGCCGGUGGCCGGGGCCAGGGCCGGUCCCGCUGCACGCCGGGAGGAGGUGGAAGGAGAUGUAGAGCUGGUGGGAGCCGGAUCCGGCCCCCGGCACGGCUAAUUAACGUAACAGUAACUCUUUAUUAACGUAAACCAAUG
Phalacrocorax carbo (great cormorant) is the source of this 365-nucleotide non-coding RNA. The record is from RefSeq and is a predicted model, not a curated record. NCBI's taxonomy places the organism in Eukaryota, Metazoa, Chordata, Aves, Suliformes, Phalacrocoracidae.